This 301-nucleotide ribosomal RNA is filed under the name uncultured bacterium. RNAcentral's name for it is "partial 16S ribosomal RNA". It matches the Rfam family "Bacterial small subunit ribosomal RNA", at positions 509 to 807 of the family's 1533-position model. The record is from RNAcentral.
CAGUAGCCGCGGUAAUACGGAGGGUGCAAGCGUUAUCCGGAUUCACUGGGUUUAAAGGGUGCGUAGGCGGAUCUGUAAGUCAGUGGUGAAAUCUCCAGGCUUAACCUGGAAACUGCCGUUGAUACUAUAGGUCUUGAAUUUUGUGGAGGUUAGCGGAAUAUGUCAUGUAGCGGUGAAAUGCAUAGAUAUGACAUAGAACACCAAUUGCGAAGGCAGCUGGCUACACAACUAUUGACGCUGAGGCACGAAAGCGUGGAGAUCAAACAGGAUUAGAUACCCCAGUAGUCCCUGUCUCUUAUAC